Molecule: ribosomal RNA, 352 nt
Filed under: uncultured bacterium
Lineage: Bacteria
Description: bacterial SSU rRNA
Rfam family: Bacterial small subunit ribosomal RNA
Source: RNAcentral
GGACCCGCACAAGCGGUGGAGCAUGUGGUUUAAUUCGAAGAUACGCGCAGAACCUUACCAACACUUGACAUGUUCGUCGCGACUUUAAGAGAUUAAAGUUUUCGGUUCGGCCGGACGAAACACAGGUGCUGCAUGGCUGUCGUCAGCUCGUGUCGUGAGAUGUUGGUUAAGUCCCGCAACGAGCGCAACCCUCACUUUUAGUUGCCAUCAUUUAGUUGGGCACUCUGAAAGAACUGCCAGUGAUAAGCUGGAGGAAGGUGGGGAUGACGUCAAGUCCUCAUGGCCCUUACGUGUUGGGCUACACACGUGCUACAAUGGUAGGUACAGAGAGCAGCCAAUGCGCGAGCAUGAG